This is a long non-coding RNA of Gallus gallus (chicken), 411 nucleotides long. The record is from Ensembl. Lineage: Eukaryota; Metazoa; Chordata; Aves; Galliformes; Phasianidae.
GUGGGAGCAGGGAGAUGUUUUCAGCAAUACAACUUUCUGAGACCUCAGCUCUGUGCAGUUGUUGUUUGUGUGGUUCAGCUGUUUGGGAUCUUUCCUUUGUACGUGUUUUCCUGAAUGGCAGGGCUAUCUUGAAGCAUCUCUUUGCCAGUGACCAAGGCUCCGUCUGUAUUUGGAGGCAUGGGCUGGUCUAUAAAGAAGGCAGCAGCCUUUCAGGAAGCAGUAGCUUUUCAUUGACUUCCCUGUGGAGUCACAGAAGGCAAACAAAUACCGACGCACAGAUUGUUUAAACGGUCCAUUGGGAAGCCAAGAUUCUUCCAGUGGAGAAGAGCUUUCCUAUGUGUCUUUUCUGCAUCUGAACAAGGGGCCUAGAAACAUAAUUGAAGAAAAAGUUGGGAAGAGAGGAGACAAGUU